UGACAAGUGUACAGUUUCAAAAUAUAUUUUCUGGUCCCUUUUGUUUAUGAUGAAGCUGCUCAUUGAAAAAUUAUGAUCUGGGUUGUAUUAUUUGGAAAUAUAUUUUGUUCUGGUCACUAAAAAUGGAUUGAUUCCUUAAUUCAACUUUAUUAAGGAUGAAAAUAACAUGUGAUUUGAGCAUACCUUUUUAUCAUGUGCUGCAAACACUAAUUAUUCUAGAAUCUA
Molecule: unclassified non-coding RNA, 225 nt
Filed under: Hevea brasiliensis (rubber tree)
Lineage: Eukaryota; Viridiplantae; Streptophyta; Magnoliopsida; Malpighiales; Euphorbiaceae
Source: RNAcentral